This 763-nucleotide long non-coding RNA is filed under the name Anas platyrhynchos platyrhynchos (common mallard). RNAcentral describes it as "lncRNA (ENSAPLG00000029317.1)". The record is from RNAcentral. Lineage: Eukaryota; Metazoa; Chordata; Aves; Anseriformes; Anatidae.
CUGGGGCAGGCCCAAAGCUGGGAGCAGGCUUCUGAGGGUCACUGGAGGAGCAUCUGCUGAGGCCAUGGUUUGGGGAGUGCUGAUCAUCAACUGGCAUUUUGUCAACCACGUCCACCACAUUGUGUCCCGACAUGCCGGAGGAGGGAUGUUUCUUCUCAAUGAGAAAGAAAGAGUGAGACAGAUGCACUGGCCGUGUGAGUGCAAAUGGGAAGAUUUCUCCAAUGAAAGAUAAAGUACUUGGGAAAAAGCAUAUUUGAUUAUGUGAACAGCAGAUGCUUUGGCAGUGUUCCCUUUUAAGUAUACCUGUGUCUGUUCAGAGGUUACUUGCCAAGAGGCAAUAUUACCUGGUGGCCUAGACAGUAUGAAAAUGGCAUUUACUGGCCAACUGGCAUACUGAGCCACACAGCAUGGUUUUAUGCAUCAACUACCUCCAUUUCCAAUAUUUGUUUUUUUCCUAAAUCUUGAUGGGGACUCAUUGGAGCUAUCUAAUCCCAACUGUAGUGAACCCUAAAUGUUCCUGUCUAGCACCACCCAACUGUAGAAAUCAUGCAUGCAUUAAAACCCUUCUGUGAGAGAAAAUGUCCUUAAGCUAAGUCAUCUGACAAUAUUCAGACUGACGGCUGGGAACCUCUGAUAGUCCAAAGUUUAAAUGUGAACUUUGGGACUUUAUUACUUCACUUAAUCAAGUGAAGGCAGUUUGCUGUCACAUAACAGCAAAUUCUGUAUUUACUUUCAAGUAGCUGAAUACUAUUACUAAUAUAAG